Molecule: ribosomal RNA, 678 nt
Filed under: uncultured Lachnospiraceae bacterium
Lineage: Bacteria; Bacillati; Bacillota; Clostridia; Lachnospirales; Lachnospiraceae
Description: bacterial SSU rRNA
Rfam family: Bacterial small subunit ribosomal RNA
Source: RNAcentral
CGAAGCUGCUUAACUGAUCUUCUUCGGAAUUGACGUUUUGUAGACUGAGUGGCGGACGGGUGAGUAACGCGUGGGUAACCUGCCCUGUACAGGGGGAUAACAGUCAGAAAUGACUGCUAAUACCGCAUAAGACCACAGCACCGCAUGGUGCAGGGGUAAAAACUCCGGUGGUACAGGAUGGACCCGCGUCUGAUUAGCUGGUUGGUGAGGUAACGGCUCACCAAGGCGACGAUCAGUAGCCGGCUUGAGAGAGUGAACGGCCACAUUGGGACUGAGACACGGCCCAAACUCCUACGGGAGGCAGCAGUGGGGAAUAUUGCACAAUGGGGGGAACCCUGAUGCAGCGACGCCGCGUGAGUGAAGAAGUAUCUCGGUAUGUAAAGCUCUAUCAGCAGGGAAGAAAAUGACGGUACCUGACUAAGAAGCCCCGGCUAACUACGUGCCAGCAGCCGCGGUAAUACGUAGGGGGCAAGCGUUAUCCGGAAUUACUGGGUGUAAAGGGUGCGUAGGUGGUAUGGCAAGUCAGAAGUGAAAACCCAGGGCUUAACUCUGGGACUGCUUUUGAAACUGUCAGACUGGAGUGCAGGAGAGGUAAGCGGAAUUCCUAGUGUAGCGGUGAAAUGCGUAGAUAUUAGGAGGAACAUCAGUGGCGAAGGCGGCUUACUGGACUGAAACUGA